GCGGUAGAGAUUCUUCGGAAUCUUGAGAGCGGCGUACGGGUGCGGAACACGUGUGCAACCUGCCUUUAUCUGGGGGAUAGCCUUUCGAAAGGAAGAUUAAUACCCCAUAAUAUACUGGAUGGCAUCAUUCGGUAUUGAAAACUCCGGUGGAUAGAGAUGGGCACGCGCAAGAUUAGAUAGUUGGUGAGGUAACGGCUCACCAAGUCUACGAUCUUUAGGGGGCCUGAGAGGGUGAUCCCCCACACUGGUACUGAGACACGGACCAGACUCCUACGGGAGGCAGCAGUGAGGAAUAUUGGACAAUGGGUGAGAGCCUGAUCCAGCCAUCCCGCGUGAAGGACGACGGCCCUAUGGGUUGUAAACUUCUUUUGUAUAGGGAUAAACCUAGAUACGUGUAUCUAGCUGAAGGUACUAUACGAAUAAGCACCGGCUAACUCCGUGCCAGCAGCCGCGGUAAUACGGAGGGUGCAAGCGUUAUCCGGAUUUAUUGGGUUUAAAGGGUCCGUAGGCGGAUCUGUAAGUCAGUGGUGAAAUCUCACAGCUUAACUGUGAAACUGCCAUUGAUACUGCAGGUCUUGAGUGUUGUUGAAGUAGCUGGAAUAAGUAGUGUAGCGGUGAAAUGCAUAGAUAUUACUUAGAACACCAAUUGCGAAGGCAGGUUACUAAGCAACAACUGACGCUGAUGGACGAAAGCGUGGGGAGCGAACAGGAUUAGAUACCCUGGUAGUCCACGCCGUAAACGAUGCUAACUCGUUUUUGGAGCGCAAGCUUCAGAGACUAAGCGAAAGUGAUAAGUUAGCCACCUGGGGAGUACGAACGCAAGUUUGAAACUCAAAGGAAUUGACGGGGGCCCGCACAAGCGGUGGAUUAUGUGGUUUAAUUCGAUGAUACGCGAGGAACCUUACCAAGGCUUAAAUGGGAAAUGACAGGUUUAGAAAUAGACUUUUCUUCGGACAUUUUUCAAGGUGCUGCAUGGUUGUCGUCAGCUCGUGCCGUGAGGUGUUAGGUUAAGUCCUGCAACGAGCGCAACCCCUGUCACUAGUUGCCAUCAUUAAGUUGGGGACUCUAGUGAGACUGCCUACGCAAGUAGAGAGGAAGGUGGGGAUGACGUCAAAUCAUCACGGCCCUUACGCCUUGGGCCACACACGUAAUACAAUGGCCGGUACAGAGGGCAGCUACACUGCGAAGUGAUGCAAAUCUCGAAAGCCGGUCUCAGUUCGGAUUGGAGUCUGCAACUCGACUCUAUGAAGCUGGAAUCGCUAGUAAUCGCGCAUCAGCCAUGGCGCGGUGAAUACGUUCCCGGGCCUUGUACACACCGCCCGUCAAGCCAUGGAAGUCUGGGGUACCUGAAGUCGGUGACCGUA
This 1364-nucleotide ribosomal RNA is filed under the name Chryseobacterium sp. RNAcentral's name for it is "bacterial SSU rRNA". It matches the Rfam family "Bacterial small subunit ribosomal RNA", at positions 66 to 1438 of the family's 1533-position model. The record is from RNAcentral. Lineage: Bacteria; Pseudomonadati; Bacteroidota; Flavobacteriia; Flavobacteriales; Weeksellaceae.